This 166-nucleotide ribosomal RNA is filed under the name uncultured bacterium. RNAcentral describes it as "partial 16S ribosomal RNA". It matches the Rfam family "Bacterial small subunit ribosomal RNA", at positions 338 to 521 of the family's 1533-position model. The record is from RNAcentral.
CCUACGGGAGGCAGCAGUGGGGAAUAUUGGACAAUGGGCGCAAGCCUGAUCCAGCCAUGCCGCGUGAGUGAUGAAGGCCCUAGGGUUGUAAAACUCUUUCGCCGGUGAAGAUAAUGACGGUAACCGGUAAAGAAGCCCCGGCUAACUUCGUGCCAGCAGCCGCGGU